UGUAACACCACCGCUUCCGGCCGCUGCGCCUGCGCCUGCGCCUGCGCACUGGGCGCUGCGCCUGCGCACUGCACACUGCGCCUGCGCACUCGGUGCUGGCUGCCUGCUGGAGGAACGUACCAACCGCUGGAGUGGGGUGGGCGCGGAGGACCCGCCGACUGUCGCUCCCGGAAGUCGCCUCGGAACCUGGACCGCCCACCAAGCUCUGCAGGGCCCUUGGCGCCUCAUGGUUCGUGUAGACUCCAAGCUGGCUCUCCACAGCGUCCACCCUGCUGUCAUCCUGGUGUGCUUCAGUGAAGAGAAAGGGGUGCCAGUCACUGCCCAAGAUCCCGGACCUGCCCCGGGGACUGUCAGGAGAUGAGGUUCCUCAAGCAGUAGCCUAAGGGACCUGCUGGCCCUUGAGCGGGGGUGUCGGAGACAGGUGUCCAGCCCAGGCCGAGUGGACGGGGCGUCCUUUGGGGUGAGCAGCCCGCUGACCGCCAGUGGCACCUGCGUCACUGUGACGGAGCUGCUGGGGCCCCGGCC
This 525-nucleotide long non-coding RNA is filed under the name Balaenoptera musculus (blue whale). RNAcentral's name for it is "lncRNA (ENSBMSG00010014933.1)". Lineage: Eukaryota; Metazoa; Chordata; Mammalia; Artiodactyla; Balaenopteridae. The record is from RNAcentral.